Molecule: ribosomal RNA, 486 nt
Filed under: Salmonella enterica subsp. enterica serovar Bonariensis
Lineage: Bacteria; Pseudomonadati; Pseudomonadota; Gammaproteobacteria; Enterobacterales; Enterobacteriaceae
Description: bacterial SSU rRNA
Rfam family: Bacterial small subunit ribosomal RNA
Source: RNAcentral
GUUGGUGAGGUAACGGCUCACCAAGGCGACGAUCCCUAGCUGGUCUGAGAGGAUGACCAGCCACACUGGAACUGAGACACGGUCCAGACUCCUACGGGAGGCAGCAGUGGGGAAUAUUGCACAAUGGGCGCAAGCCUGAUGCAGCCAUGCCGCGUGUAUGAAGAAGGCCUUCGGGUUGUAAAGUACUUUCAGCGGGGAGGAAGGUGUUGUGGUUAAUAACCACAGCAAUUGACGUUACCCGCAGAAGAAGCACCGGCUAACUCCGUGCCAGCAGCCGCGGUAAUACGGAGGGUGCAAGCGUUAAUCGGAAUUACUGGGCGUAAAGCGCACGCAGGCGGUCUGUCAAGUCGGAUGUGAAAUCCCCGGGCUCAACCUGGGAACUGCAUUCGAAACUGGCAGGCUUGAGUCUUGUAGAGGGGGGUAGAAUUCCAGGUGUAGCGGUGAAAUGCGUAGAGAUCUGGAGGAAUACCGGUGGCGAAGGCGGCC